Molecule: non-coding RNA, 372 nt
Organism: Peromyscus eremicus (cactus mouse)
Lineage: Eukaryota; Metazoa; Chordata; Mammalia; Rodentia; Cricetidae
Source: the annotation of a RefSeq genome assembly
AUGGGUUUCGGGCUAAUUUGGGUUUUCCUUGUUGCUCUUUUAGAAGGUGUCCAGUGUGAGGUGCAGCUUGUGGAGUCUGGGGGUCACCUGGUGCAGCCUGGGGGGUCCCUGAGACUCUCCUGUUCAGCCUCUGGAUUUACUUUUAGUAAUAACUGGAUGGAAUGGGUCCGCCAAGCUCCAGGAAAAGGGCUGGAGUGGGUUGGAGAAAUUAAUAAAGAUAGCAGUACCAUCAACUAUGCACCAUCCGUGAAGGACCGAUUCACCAUCUCCAGAGACAACGCCAAGAACACUCUGUACCUGCAAAUGAGCAGUGUGAGAUCUGAGGACACCGCCACUUAUUACUGUGCUACAGGCACAAUGAAUGGACUUUAG